RNAcentral lists this ribosomal RNA (109 nucleotides) under Scophthalmus maximus (turbot). Lineage: Eukaryota; Metazoa; Chordata; Actinopteri; Pleuronectiformes; Scophthalmidae. The record is from RNAcentral.
GCUUACGGCCACACCGCCUGGUUCACGCCUGAUCUCGGAAGCUAAGAUAGGUUGGGCCUGGUUAGUACUUGGAUGGGAGACCGCCUGGGAAUACCAGGUGCUGCAAAGC